Molecule: long non-coding RNA, 1964 nt
Organism: Esox lucius (northern pike)
Lineage: Eukaryota; Metazoa; Chordata; Actinopteri; Esociformes; Esocidae
Source: Ensembl
UGAAGGGGUAGCGGCAGAUGUACAGUUGACAGAGGAGCAGGAUCAGUGGUACAUGAUGGCGGAGGAGUCCGUCCCGCAUGUGUCACUGGCCCUGCAUCCUAAACACCAAGCAAAAGACCUGGGGCCCAUGGGUUGGAUGUGACAUUGAAUGGUUUGUGGCCCACAGGGGUGUUGGAGGAGUCAGGUUCCGCGUGGAACACACCUAUCCUCCCGGUAGAAAAGAAAGGGACAGGGAAAUACCGUAUGGCCCAUGAUCUCAGAGCUAUUAACAACAUUUUACUCACACCCACUAUACCGGUGCCUAACCCGUAUGUAGCACUCACUAAUUUGACCCCGGAUCAAAAAUGGUUCACCUGCAUUGACCUGGCUAACGCUUUUUUCUGUCUCCCACUAGCAGAGGAACUUCGUAAUAUUUUUUCUUUCACACAUAGGGGUCGGCAAUGGCGAUACACGAGACUACCACAGGGGUUUGCGCUUUCCCCUGGCAUAUUCAACCAGGUACUGAGAGAAGCGCUGCAGGGAUGCUGCCUGCCGACAGGGGUGCCUGUUCGUUUCAGAAUUCACCAAUAGAGUCGGAGAACGGAGGGACCUGCACCCGCUGGACCAGAACCUGCCCCAGGCGGAGUGGGUGUUGCUGAAGGUCAUGAAGCGAAAUUGGUCGGAGCCAAGGUGGACGGGUCCUCAUCAGGUGGUGGAGAGAACGAGUCAUGCGGUCCGCCUGAGGGACAAAGGAGAGACCUGCUACCAUUGGAGCCAGUGUACACCAGCGCAGGAGCCAGGGAGGUCGCUAACGGACCUCAUCCAAACCGGGAAGGAGGAGCUUUCCCCAGUGUGGACGGAAGGAGGACCAGCACCAGCCGGACCGGUGCCAGGAGCGGACCCCAGGACACGGCGGGACUACGAGCGAGUGAAGGAGACAAAGCACGGCGUCAGGGGAAUAGACUCUUAGGGGAAGGAACUGAAGAAUACUGUAACAAAAGGGGGUAUAGGACACCGAGUGGCUACCACUCAUACCAAGAUGACAGGGUUACAGAGAAAGGUCUGGGGAAAUGAUAAUAGAAUUAAGUGGUACAUGGACAUGGACAAUAAUGAUGUGUGUUGUAUGUUGUUACAGGUUUCCCAGGUUGGCAUCGGGUCUUCAUUCCCCCAGCGAAGAGGUUCGCGACCCCACCUGAGGACACCUGUUUGAGGAAAUUAGGGGGUAUUGAAUUGGACUAUGUCAAGGGGUCACAUAUACGAGCACUCUGGGAUAGAUAAUCCACUGGAGGAGUGGCUGACCUCGAUGUUCGGCCAGUGGAAAGGUUUGAUAAUGUCUGUUCUUUUAUCGCUUGCUUCAUGUGGUGCUAUAAUGGUCACUUGUGGGUGUUGUUGUAUCCCAUGCAUAAGAGGGCUUGCCAUGAGAGUGAUAUCUCCAGCCAUUGAGAAGGCUCCAGGAUCGCCACCAGGGAUGCUGAUGCCUCUACUGGAGCAGCAUGACCCGGGAGAACUGGAGCUUGGCGAAUAGGGGUGAUCUCUCUGGGGAGAGAUCAAAAGGGGGAAUUGUAGAUGUAUUGAUUGUAUGAGUUAGUGAACUGUUGUAAGCUGUUGUAACCAAUUAAACAAAAUAUUAAUUGUUUGUAAUAUGAGCUGAAACUGAAGGAGCAAGUAGGAGAAUAGGAAACCCUGUUCAAGCGGUUGCCGGGGAGAGAAAGAUUUAGUAUGUCUGUCUUGUGAGAAACAGGUCACAGGUCAGAGACACACACACAUAGUCGGACAGACAACACAGAAACCACAAGGGGGGCAAGGGGAUACUUGCAGUUAUCCUAUAAGGAAUAGAACUAGGAUUGGGCCAAUGGCACACUUGCUUUGUGAACUUAACAACUCUAUCUUUUGGGGGUAGUGGAAGUAUAAAAUGAUCUGUUGACUGUUGAUCCUUAGACAUUGUGCGGCGAACCUUGUCUCCAAAAGCUUUUGUAAUAAACGGA